RNAcentral lists this ribosomal RNA (470 nucleotides) under uncultured beta proteobacterium. RNAcentral's name for it is "bacterial SSU rRNA". It matches the Rfam family "Bacterial small subunit ribosomal RNA", at positions 243 to 705 of the family's 1533-position model. Lineage: Bacteria; Pseudomonadati; Pseudomonadota; Betaproteobacteria. The record is from RNAcentral.
AGCUAGUUGGCGGGGUAAGAGCCCACCAAGGCGACGAUCCGUAGCUGGUUUGAGAGAACGACCAGCCACACUGGGACUGAGACACGGCCCAGACUCCUACGGGAGGCAGCAGUGGGGAAUUUUGGACAAUGGGCGCAAGCCUGAUCCAGCCAUGCCGCGUGUGUGAAGAAGGCCUUCGGGUUGUAAAGCACUUUCGGCCGGAACGAAAUCGCCUUUGUUAAUAGCGAAGGUGGAUGACGGUACCGGAAGAAGAAGCACCGGCUAACUACGUGCCAGCAGCCGCGGUAAUACGUAGGGUGCGAGCGUUAAUCGGAAUUACUGGGCGUAAAGGGUGCGCAGGCGGCCCCGCAAGUCAGGCGUGAAAUCCCGGGCUUAACCUGGGAAUGGCGCUUGAAACUACGGGGCUGGAGUAUGGCAGAGGGAAGGUGGAAUUCCACGUGUAGCGGUGAAAUGCGUAGAGAUGUGGAGGA